Molecule: long non-coding RNA, 963 nt
Filed under: Androctonus crassicauda
Lineage: Eukaryota; Metazoa; Arthropoda; Arachnida; Scorpiones; Buthidae
Source: RNAcentral
UUUUAAAGUUUAAAAAUAUAAAAUUCACAAAAAUUUAAAAACUUUUCUACAAAAUUAAAGCGUCCUAAAUUUCAAAGGUCUAACACUGGCUUUGCCAGAAGUGUCAGGUAAAGCCCAAAAGCAGGAACCCAAUAGUAGUAAUGUCUCAAUAUAUGUUGACAGACUUCCCACAGGUGUGGAAUGUGAAAAGUGUGGUGCCCUUAUGCACCUAGGCUCUUUGGUUACAUUAAAGCUCAUAAAACUCCUGUUUUGAUCAGACUUAAGGUAGACAAGAAGUCAUCACUGCUGUAUGAAUUAAAGAAGUUGUGACCUGGCACUCCAGGAUCUUGAUAAGUUACCCGUAUGUCACGGAUUCCUCGCUAAAGUUCCUUGACAGGUUAUUGGAGAUAGGGCCCCUCCUGGAUGAGUGAUAUACCAUAAUAGACUAUGAAUCCUUGUACCUGUCCAUACGACAUGCCCCGGCGGCGCUCAUGUUGUACCACUUCAUGAUGCAACACAUCCCCAAAUCCGACAGGAUUAGUAUCCUCCUUAGAGAUGUAUGCCAUCUGAUUAAUUACAAGUUAUACUAUGUGUUUCAGGGGCAUUAUUAUAUACUAAAAAAGAGAGUCCCCAUUGGUGGCCCUCUAUCAGGGGUAAUGGUCGAGUUGGUCGUAAGGUUUAAGGAAACCAGUGUGCUUGACCUUCUCUGCUCAGAGUUCAAAUUGUUCCUUUGUUAUGUUGACGAUAUUUAUAUAAUUUGAAGAAACGAACCUGAUGAACAGUGCCUGGUGGACAUGCUUACAGAUGAUACGUUCAGCUUAAAGUGUGGGUGGAACAAACUUCUAUUACAGGCUUCCACUUUUUAGAUCUGCAGGUCAAGACUAAUAGGGGGCGAAUAUGUUACUAAGUCUAUAGGAAGCCAAUGUAUAUGCCUGUCCUGAUAUUGGCUUGGUCACAUGACUAUAUGUCAUAUAAGCUGACUGG